AGCGCCAGCGAGGUAUACAGAAUGAGCUCUAAUAGCAUUCAAAAUUUUCAUUCGGAGACCUCGAGGUGAGGUUUUCUAGUCUCUACCAGAUCGACCAGAGACGGAUUUGGACUUUGUUGGAGUUCUUACUACUCCAGUUACAGUGUAGAGCCUACGAAAGGUGAUUCUUUCGAGGGUAUACGGAGAUUGAGAGGUUUUCAGCCAUUUGAGGAAACUGAACAUUCUUUCUUGUGCAAUAUUUUAGCUUUUUCUGCGUUGGGUUUUCUUUUUCUGAUCCUGAAUGUGUCACGUUGAAUGAGCUGAUUGUUCAGAUGUCUAGUAGCUUCAGGAGUGACUAUGACUCUUCAUUCAAUAUUGAUGAACUCUUGCACUUAGGAAUGAUGUGUACUGAGCUGAGGAGAGAGAAGGACAUGCUAAGAGAAUCCCAGUCCCAAAGCACUGAACUGAUCAAA
Macadamia integrifolia is the source of this 452-nucleotide long non-coding RNA. RefSeq lists it as uncharacterized. The record is from RefSeq and is a predicted model, not a curated record. Lineage: Eukaryota; Viridiplantae; Streptophyta; Magnoliopsida; Proteales; Proteaceae. The transcript is spliced from 4 exons.